UACGUAGGGUGCGAGCGUUAAUCGGAAUUACUGGGCGUAAAGCGUGCGCAGGCGGUUCGGUAAGUCAGCUGUGAAAGCCCCGGGCUCAACCUGGGAACUGCGGUUGAAACUGGCGAACUAGAAUCUGGCAGAGGGGGGUGGAAUUCCACGUGUAGCAGUGAAAUGCGUAGAUAUGCGGAGGAACACCGAUGGCGAAGGCAAUCCCCUGGACCUGUACUGACGCUCAUGCACGAAAGCGUGGGGAGCAAACAGG
RNAcentral lists this ribosomal RNA (253 nucleotides) under uncultured bacterium. RNAcentral describes it as "partial 16S ribosomal RNA". It matches the Rfam family "Bacterial small subunit ribosomal RNA", at positions 524 to 776 of the family's 1533-position model. The record is from RNAcentral.